UUUACUCGGUCGCGUCCUGGAAAGCGGGCAGGAGAAAGAUUUCCCGGACGGAAUAACUUCUAAAAAUGAUACAAAUGAGUUCGUAAGAGCUUCGGAAACAAAUAUUUCCAAACUGCGGCCUCAGACGCGGGAUCGUGUUGUUCCCUGGAGUUUAUUCAUCCGAUUGAUGUGACGUUCAACUGAAGCCGUCUUCAGUUAUCCUGAAAGAUGCAGCAACAACGUCAACAGGCAGCUGAAUGAUGCCGUCAGGCUGUGAGACUCCUCAACUCCUCCUUCGACGCCAA
Plectropomus leopardus (leopard coralgrouper) is the source of this 284-nucleotide long non-coding RNA. RefSeq lists it as uncharacterized. The record is from RefSeq and is a predicted model, not a curated record. NCBI's taxonomy places the organism in Eukaryota, Metazoa, Chordata, Actinopteri, Perciformes, Serranidae.